Non-coding RNA from Aegilops tauschii subsp. strangulata, 1337 nucleotides. The record is from RefSeq and is a predicted model, not a curated record. NCBI's taxonomy places the organism in Eukaryota, Viridiplantae, Streptophyta, Magnoliopsida, Poales, Poaceae.
CAGCUUACAUCGAGAAAGCCAGCCCUUCUUGGAUGCCCUCUAUUCCUACAGCUGUGGUCGUGGGAGAGGUUCUCUAUAGGGCGACCAGAUGUACGUGUUCAUGAGCCUAUAGACGCCAUGUUUGAUGUUGACGGCAUCGACAUGCCUACUUUCGGUCUGUGUUGGACUCGUCGCGAGAGACGCUUUGCUAGUGAUCAGACCAGGAAGGCAUACACAGCAUUGAACGAGCAGUUCGAUGCGUACACCGGGGUCAUCUGGCAGCCCUACACGGAAGCAGCCAUACAAGCGAGAUACCCUGCUGGUAUGUCUGUGCUAUGCACAAGGGACCGAGAUUACUGGAUGACAAAAUCUAAGAUCAUCUUCGAUGUCUUCGUCGAGGAGAUGGCACAACAGAGGGUUAUGAGGCAAUUUGGUCUUCUGCAGUUGGAGCUACCUCCCCCUAUAGAGAACCUGCUGCCAGCACACAUCCACAGGUAUUAACCAGUUUUUCAAUGUUGCAUUAUCUUUCAUAGUACUCCAUUCGAAGCUUUAGGUAAUUGUUGAACACACACCACAAUUUUAGGACGACAAGGAAGGGCAUGAACAGGACAACUGCUGACUGGCAAGUUAGACUAGAGCCGUAUGUUAUAGAAUGGGAGACAGCAAACAGAAAUCUAUGGCACGAGAAUCACAAUUUCGAUCUCGAUGAAUUCAAUCUCUAUUUGCGGCGCUACAUGACCGGAACACGGUUACGCAUUGUUGAGUACUCCCACCCAGAGGAGAUACCGGAUCCUACUCCGUCGGAUAUGUACCCGAGCUAUGAUACUUCCGGCUCUAGGCAGUACGCGGCUACCUUGACACGCGAACUCUACGACGACGUGACCACCUUUGGACGAUCACUAUCGUCUGGACCUCUUCUUCAGCAUCGUCCAGUGGUACAGCCCUUCUUGGAAAGAAUUCAGAAUAAGAUACGGACUGUGUACGAGGCUAUCACGUGCACCCGGAGAACCGAUGUUGUUCAGCACCAGCAGGAGCAGCCGCGUCACUCCAUGCACCGACAUCAACCACGUCCACGUCUAGCACCUCAGCCGACAGCCAGGCCACCCCGUCCUGACCAACCUGGCAGUUCUACGUGGCACCCGCAGCACUAUGGUCCCACGUCGAGUUUCGUGUUUUCUCCACAGCCACAGCAACAUGGUCCCUCGUCGAGCUUCGUGUUUUCUCCACAGCCACAGCAGCACGGUCCCUCGUCCAGUUUCGUGUUUGAGCCAGAGCAGACGUCACACCCAGCAGGUAUGUGUCUUCAUAUUUACUGUUUUCAAUAUUAAUUGACGCGACCUCAUUCUUCAUGAUGAUAC